UAGGAAAUCUUUUAGUAGAGAUGCAGUUCACCUGCCACUACCAGUUGUUUCCAGAUGGAUUUGUACAAUAAUCUUUGAGAGAGAGAUUUGAGAACACUAGAUGAAAAUGUCUGAACAUCUCAUUUUGGCUCCAAAAACCUGUCCCUGAAGACUCUCUGGCAAAUAAAAGAUACAGGUGCAGUAGAUAGCAGUGAAGGUGACUGCUAGUUUCAUCAAUCACUUUGCCUUUCUUUAAGUUGAUACAUAAUGGAUCCCUUCAAUCAGCUUCCUUGUUCUUUGUCACUUGUUUAGGAAAAAGAAAAAGGUAGAAAGGCUGGGCUUUAAAGUCAAGGUUACAAACCUUAUUUACACAUGAUAGGAAGAUGUCAGUAUGAGCAGGGGCGCUUCAUAAAAUGUUGAGUUUUGCCAAUGUGUGAUAAUAUGCAGUUUGAAGCUCCCUUCAUACAGACCUUGAGUAGUGAUGGUGCUUGUCAAAGCAGUGAGUUCAAACAGGAGCUUGGAAUUAAGAUGUUCAGUGACAGUCGAAACACAUCCCAGAAAAAGUGAUAAUGCACUUUAUUAGCUGAGGACAUAAUUAGUGAUAUUCAGUGCCAAACUUUGUUUAGUAAAUUGAAAGAAAUAGAUUGUUUAUAUACAGGUUCCUGGACUAUUUAGGCAGUGCUUUCCUUGUGAUUUCAUAAUUUCAUAUACAAAAUAUUAUGCAAAUCAACCCUCUGUCCUGCCUGAAAAAAGCAAAACUCUACAGUGCCCUGUCUUUUCUUCCACAACAAACUCACUGCACCCUCCUUACCUUUUUCUGAAAGUGUAAGAUAUGUGCCCUUAAGUCAUUGUGGUUUGUGAGUACAGUGGUACCUCGGUUUAUGAACACAAUUGGUUCCGGAAGUCUGUUCAUAAACUGAAGCGAACUUUCCCAUUGAAAGUAAUGGAAAGUGGAUUAAUCCGUUCCAGACGGGUCCGCAGAUUACUCAACCUGAAGCGUACUUAACCCGAAGCAUGGGUGUAAUUGGUUCUGGAAGUCUGUUCAUAAACUGAAGUGUUCAUAAACUGAAGUGAACUCUCCCAUUGAGAGUAAUGGAAAGUGAAUUAAUCCGGUCCAGAUGGGUCCGCGGCGUUCGUAACCCGAAAAUUCGUAAACCGAGGUGUUCAUAAACUGAGGUUCCACUGUAUUUAUAAAAUAAGUUUAAGAAACUUCCUUGCCACACUUUCGUUACAUUUUGGUUAGUCCUGAUAAAGGCAUUGUCCAACUAUGGAUUUUGGAGUUGAGGCUUUGCGGGUGGGGAGUGUUGGACCAGUAUGGCAGCGUAGCACAUGCUGUGCUAAAUGAGUAAAUUGAUUUGGAAAUGUGCAGCCCAUAAUGUGUUUUGAAUUCCCUACCUGAAAUGUAUAAAUAUUCCUAAAGCUUUCAUAACUUAUACAACAUGUGUUCAUAAAAUACUCUUAACGGUUGUUGAACAAAACACGUUUUACAUUAGGGUUGUUUUUUGUAAAAUCAGUAAGUAAAUCAGGAUAAUUACCUUUUUUUGCUCUAACCAUUUUUCCUUAACACCCCUGGGGUUGUCUAUACAUGCCAUCACAUUUGCCUUGCAAAAUAUUAUUACAUCCUCAGUGAGUGUCAAGAAAAAUCCUGGAAAGGGAGUUAGGCAUGGACAAUGGACAUGUAUGAUUGGGACCAAGAGAUUUUGUUCUACCAAAAUUAAGAGCCUCUUGCUAGUGCAAGGACCUUUCCCUUGAGUAUGUGAGCUUCAGGUGGAGGGAAUUUGUAAGGGUGGUGAGCAUAGUGCAGGCCUCUCUGAACAUUUUUGAUGAUCUGUUUUUGUCUUGGGGGAGUCACUUUCUGUUCCCAAUUAUUGGUUGACAUUGAGGGGUCACUUAUCCAUCCACACAGAUCAGCUUCUCCUUCUUGGGCUGUAGAGUGCAGUCCUUACAAUUUUGGGUACUUUCUAGUAAUAGCUUUCAUGGAACAUGGAACAUGGAAGCUAUCCCAACAUGAUUGAGAUCUUACAUGCCUUCAAAGGAAAGCCCAGAAAAUAUAGUUCCAUGGUGAGCAACUUCAUAUAAAAUAGGCAUGUGCAAUGCACUUGCAUUUCCUGCCCCACCUGCAUCUCUGCCAUAUGUGAAGUCACUCUUUGGAAAUGCACUUUCCCUUUUCAGAAACAAAUGUUAACAUCCCCCCAAAGCAAAAAUAGACAAAAAUGACAUCCCCCCCCUAAAGCAAAAAUAGACACAAAUGACACAGAAGAUGCUGGUCUCUGUUUAUGAAACAACCUCCACAUUUCUUAGCAGAGAAUUAGGAAGGUCUGUCAAGCUAGAAGGCAGGGCAGCAGAGGGAUCAGUUCAUUAUGAGUACAUGCAAGUCCUGCAUUACAAGUGCUUGCUAUGCAAGAAUUCACUUGUCCAACACAAGGAUUUAAUACCCAAACCUUGAUAUAUACCCAAACCUUGAUAUAUGCACCACAGAUUCCGUGGUUUGGAAAUGCAUUCAGUUUUACCCAUGUGACUCAAUGGAAGUUAUUGGCUUGUUAUACGAAUGGAGAUCAUUGACUAAUUAUGCAAAUGGUCACCUAACAAAUGAUUUCCAGAAAACCCAUGGUGUUUAUAAAGCGAGACCUGCAGGUAGUAGUAUGUAGGUCCGGAAUUCACAUGCUUUGCCCCCUGCUGUCCUUGCAAGGGAAAUUCUGUUUGCUCUAUCCUAUAAAAGAAAGGCUUUGGUUUUGUGCUGGCUGUUAUGACUUAUUUUCACCCAAUUAUUCACAUAAAGAUUUUUUGAGUCCUGAAUAGCCAAGUGUUGCCCCUCACCUGGUGCGCCCUGCUCCACCACUCUCCCUCAUUUUGCUUUCUCCUAUUCUUCUAUGUGAUAAAGGAGUUGCAACUACCACUCAUUUGAUACUCGCUGUAUCAAUAAAUAUUUUAUUUUUAUUUUAUUUUAUUUUUGGACAGUUCACUAAUCUUGUUUUGCAUACUUCAGCAAAUAUUGCUGCAUGAUAUGUGUAAUGGCAUCUGUACAUACAGUAUGUAGUGUAUAGGGAGAGUUGUCAGACACUCACAGAAACCUGAGGGAAGCUGGUAAGAUUUUAUUUUGAGGACCUGCUCUUUGUGCCCCAACCUUUGGAGGGGUACUUCACAGCUACUAGGGGUGGAGCCUUCUCUGUAGUGGCAGCUCUGCUUCGGGAUGCCAUUUUCCAGAACAAUUUGGCAGGUCCCAAUAAUUUUCACAUUUAGGUGCAUGGCAAAAACUUUUGGAAGAGUUCAACAUAAUUUAAUUUCUAUAUUGCUUUUACUUACAACAAGGUAAAAAAAAUGGAGCACUUCUAAAAAAAGUUAUUUGCAAGUGGACAACUUUGUAAGUUAAUGACUGGUUCAGCAAAGUACUUAAGCAUAUUUUUAAAACUAGAGCAUAUAUCUAGUCUCUGUGAACUCAACUGUUUCAAAGGGAAUCUGUGGCAUAUGACAGACCUUAAUAUUCAUGAGGAGUACUCAUAUUUCAAAGCACUCUAAUGGCACAAGCCACAUUCGCAUUACUGCACCUCACAUUUCCAGGGCACUUGGAGGAUUUGGCUUUAUGAAGUAUGUCAAUGUAAAGCUUCCAGCUACAUCUUGUAAAAACCAGUCAUAACGUUUCAGAGAAAUGUGGUGAAUCAUAUUUCACUCUUGUACUUGAAAUAUGGUAUUUUAAGAACUACAUGCACUGUUUUAACAAAAUAAUUUAAUUACUGACGCAUGAAAAUAAAUUGUAGGAAUUCUCUGUCAUGAAGAUCUGGAUUCUGCCCUUUUCCCAAGGGAUCAUGGAGGGCAUUUUUUUUAUUUUAUUCUGAGUUCUCAUUGGCCUCAAAUGAUAAGGAAUAGGGUGAGCUGUUGGCAAAAGAGUUGAAAGCACCACCCCUGAAGUGUAGGCUUCUUCAGUCAUAAUUUUUUCCUGCUGCAGUGGCCAAAGCAAGGAGAGUCCUGGAACUCCCUGAGGAACAACCCAUGGAAACUGAGGCAAAAGCUACAGCAGCAACCAAAGGAGCCAAAUCUGCCUUUCUGGAUGGACAGCCAUGUCUGGCUACUCUGCAUUUCCCAGAUUCAUUCCAAAAGCUGUAAAACACUGAGCUGACAAAACUGGAAAAACACAACUAUCAUGCAAGCUGGUGAAUAGACACUACCUCUUCCUAACUAACAUUAUGGGCCCAUUGGCUAGCCUAAUCGUGGGUGUGCCAGUAGCAACUUUAUCCUCAACUGUGAUUAUCCUGUCUGAAAGCAAAGGAGGACAGAGGAAUGCUUGUGAAAAGUGAGUAGAGGCGGUGCCACUCGGAUUUUGAGGCAGAAGCGGUGGCCUUCAGAGCAUCAGCAACCACAUUAGUUACAGCUAGAAUAAGUGGGCCAAUGAUCUCACCUCCAGGGGGGAUGUACCCAAACACAGCGUGGAUGGCCUAAAGAAGCUCUCCAUUGUGCCUGCUUUCCAAGCAAACAUGACCAGGGAUCUCAUGCAGUUCCACGCAAGAGCAGUGAUAGUGAGCAUCCUGGCAAGAUGUAAUAUCUGGCUCUGCAACUGGGAUGUAGAUGCAUAAUCCCAAGGGCACCUGGCAAAUUCCCCAUUCAAUGGGGGAAAGCUUUAUGGGGACCCGCUCAAAAAAGUCCUUUUUGAGAUAUGGGAUAAACAAAAGAUGCCACCUGUCAAGAAGGAUGAACUCGAAGAUAAACAACAGCAGUCCUUUUGUCUGCGACGACAAUAUAAUAGACCACACUCUUCAACAGGCUAUAGAUCCAGAUGAUGAUGAUGAAGAAGAAAUGUUUGGAUUUGAUAUCCCACUUUAUCACUACGCAGUCUCAAAGCGCUAACAUUCUCUUUUCCCUUCCUCCCCCACAACAAACACUCUGUGAGGUGAAUGGGGCUGAGAGACUUCAAAGAAGUGCGACUAGCCCAAGGUCACCCAGCAGCUGCAUGUGGAGGAGCGGAGACGCGAACCGUCUACCGCUCUUAACCACUACACCACACUGGCACAGAUGAGAUUGCACUGAAAGAUCCAGUGGUUCCACAAUGCCUCAUCAAUGUCCCAAUUCCAAUCCUGGAAUUGGGGGAAGGUGCAGUGUGGGGAUCAAUGGAAAUAAAAGAUCCUCUCCUUGUGCAAAAGUGAAAAUGUCUCUGCUUGUGCAGGAGAUUUAUUGGAUUCAAGCUGUUGCUUUUAGAUACUGUAUAUAUUUUUGUUAUUUAGUCGCGUCCGUCUCUUCAUGACCCCAUGGACCAGAGCACGCCAGGCACUCCUGUCUUCCACUGUCUCCCGCAGUUUGGUCAAACUCAUGUUGGUAGCUUCGAGAACACUGUCCAACCAUCUCGUCCUCUGUCGUCCCCUUCUUGUGCCCUCAAUCUUUCCCAACAUCAGGGUCUUUUCCAGGGAGUCUUCUCAUGAGCUGGCCAAAGCCUUGGAGCCUCAGCUUCAUGACCUUUCCUUCCAGUGAGCACUCGGGGCUGCCUUCAGAAGGGAUAGGUUUGAUCUUCUUGCAGUCCAUGGGACUCUGAAGAGUCUCCUCCAGCACCAUAAUUCAAAAGCAUCAAUUCUUUGAUGAUCAGCCUUCUUCAUGGUCCAGCUCUCACAUACAUCACUACUGGGGAAACCAAAGCUUUUAACUAUAUGGACCUUUGUCUGCAAGGUUAUGUCUCUGCUUUUUAAGAUGCUUUAUCUGUUUUAGAACAUUCAGUACUUUUAUUUGCUUACAAUUUGUAAUAAUUAAUGGCUGAAAACAGUUACUGUUAAUAUUUUUCCAUUUGAUUUUCUUCCAUAUGGCAACUUUUCCCUUAAUGCCACAAGCUUGUCUUUCUUUAAACUCUAAAUUAAUCUGAUGCCCCUUCCCUUCUCCUCUUAAAUUUCAGAGUUACUGGAGCAUACCCACAUAGUAUACGUAGGAGGAAAUAGCUCAUAGCUUAGUCAUUUUUGGAUUAUGUCUUGGAUAGAAGUGCCAUUGAAAAGUUACUUCCAAAAAUAGAUUAAAUUAUUCAGUCCCUCACUGUUAACAAAACAUAAUUUUAAAGAUUCCUUUGAUUGUAGACAAUAGACAUUCAUUGAACAAAAUGUAUAUUUCAUCCAGACAAGUGUCUUUUGUUAUAUGUGUUGAAUCUGAUCAAUAGAAGGUUCUUCAAGAAAUAUUCAGCAGUGGCGUUAAAAGUUUUACAGUUUUAAUCUUAAAGACGCCACCACCACCACCCCAGGAAGCAGACAUGCCAUGUCAUAAAAUAACUAUUAGUGAUUAGUUUGUAUCAUAUAAAUCGUAACUUGAGUUGAUAAUAUGGUCCAUUACCAGCUAACUGCACAGAGUAUUUUUCAUUUUACACUCUUCAGUUACUUUUUAGUGAAGUGUUGAAAAUAUGAAGCUUUUUUCCUUUCUAAAAUUGCACGCUGUCUGUUAUUAGGGAGAUAACAGCUCUUAUAAAUGUUUCAGUAAGCACUAAGUAGACAGUUAUGUGCACUCUCAUUCCACGCUUAUUUGCUUACUGUAAUAAACUGAUAAAAUAUGUGUGGUUUGUCUUCCUGUAUCUAUAUGCACACAGAUUUCCUUUAGAAAUAAUGUUGUGUCUGCAGAAUUGAUUGGUUAUUUUCAUAAAACAUCUAAAAGUACAUAGAUGACUUUCUUAAAUGUAUGCCAAUAUGAUUUGUAGAGGUUUAUCAUACUGUUCCUAAAUGCAUGUUAACUCUUUAGGGGAGGCUUCAUUUAAACAUAUUUACAACAUUUGUAUUGAAUCAGCCUACAUAGAACAAUUCCACCCAGUCUUGAUGCUAUUUUGAGUUUCUUCAGUUGUAUAGCUCAUGCUCCAGUAAUGAUUUUUUAUUAUUUCAUUCAGACAGCUGACGGGUUAAAAUACUUUUUGACCUGUGAUACUUACAUAUAAUGUCAAGCUUGGGAGAGGGUAAGCAGCAAAAAGAAUUCUACUUGUUAGGUGCCAAUGCCUUUAUUUGUUUUUUGGUAAGAUUUCUUAUCCACCCUUCACCAUAAGGCAGUAGGGCAGAUUACAACAAUAUAAUAUGCAGUUAUAAAAGAAAAUGGUUCCAGCCAAAACAGAACAGUAAAAAUUCAGCAAAAUAGGUUGGUACCAAAUGUUCACGCUCUGACUCAAGCUGUGGUCAUAAACAGCAACAUGAAACAAGGUUCUACAAUAUGGAUUUAUUGGAUUUGGAAGGAUAUGACAACAGAUUUGGGUGGCAUUCUUAUCUUUGGUAUGACAAAGUAAAAGUUCAUAAAGGGUUUCUAAACCAUGUUAUAAGAAAGCCAAUCUAUGAAGUAUGGGAUAGAUAUAAAAAUUUGUUAGAACGAAAAACACCAUGGUGGCUGUCGCCUACAGAGGUAUUGACUGUUAAAAAAUUAAAUAUGAAGGAAAGAUGGGCUACUUAUGGUGAGAUUUUGAUGGAAACCAAAAAGGGAGUAAAACUCAAACCAUAUGAGCAAAAUGAAUUUGUGUUUACGAGUUGGUUGCAAUAUCAUCAAGUAAAUGACUUAUUUAAUGGAGAUAAAAGAAAUACUGGUUUUGGAAAUAAAAAAAAUCGAGAUUUCAAACGGAAUUGUUGGAAGGCAAAGCAAAAUUGUUGUCAAAAAUGUGUCAUUUGUUGUUAGAAUGGUAUACAAAAGAUGAGGAGACAAAAGAAGUUAUGAUAAAAUGGGCUAUUGACUUUGGGCAUAAUAUUGAAUACGAAUCUUGGUCAAAAUUGUGGAAUGAAACUUUAAAAUUUACCGCUUGUAUGGCCUUAAAAGAGAAUGUAAUGAAAAUGAUGUAUAGGUGGUACUUAACACCGAUGAAAUUGCCCAAAAUGAAGAACAAACUAUGCUGGAAGUGUGGAGAGAAAGAUGGAGAUUUUUUUUAUCAUAUGUGAUGGGAAUGUGAUAAUGUAAAAGUAUUUUGGGAAUUGGUCUACAAUGAACUAAAAAAGAUGUUUAGAUAUACCUUCCC
Zootoca vivipara (common lizard) is the source of this 7915-nucleotide non-coding RNA. The record is from RefSeq and is a predicted model, not a curated record. Lineage: Eukaryota; Metazoa; Chordata; Lepidosauria; Squamata; Lacertidae.